GUGAGUCAUCGAAUCUUUGAACGCACCUUGCGCUCCUUGGUAUUCCGAGGAGCAUGCCUGUUUGAGUGUCAUUAAAUUCUCAACCUCUCUAGUUUCUAGUAGAGGCUUGGAUUUGGGAGUAAUUUUUGCAGGCUUUUACAAGUCAGCUCUCCUUAAAUGUAUUAGCCGGUGCCCUCUAACCGUCUAUUAGUGUGAUAAUUAUCUACGCUGAAGACUUUUGGUGGUGCUGCUUAUAACCGUCCUCUGGACAAUUUAUGACAUUUUGACCUCAAAUCAGGUAGGACUACCCGCUGAACUUAAGCAUAUCAAUAAGCGGAGGA
Molecule: unclassified non-coding RNA, 320 nt
Filed under: Strophariaceae sp.
Lineage: Eukaryota; Fungi; Basidiomycota; Agaricomycetes; Agaricales; Strophariaceae
Description: partial contains 5.8S ribosomal RNA, internal transcribed spacer 2, and large subunit ribosomal RNA
Rfam family: 5.8S ribosomal RNA (bases 1-71)
Source: RNAcentral